Molecule: ribosomal RNA, 395 nt
Filed under: uncultured bacterium
Lineage: Bacteria
Description: bacterial SSU rRNA
Rfam family: Bacterial small subunit ribosomal RNA
Source: RNAcentral
GGAAUCAUAGACAAUGGGGGCAACCCUGAUCUUGCCAUGCCGCGUGGACGAUGAAGGCCUUAGGGUUGUAAAGUCCUUUCACCGGUGAAGAUAAUGACGUUAGCCGGAGAAGAAGCCCCGGCUAACUCCGUGCCAGCAGCCGCGGUAAUACGGAGGGGGCUAGCGUUGUUCGGAAUUACUGGGCGUAAAGCGCGCGUAGGCGGGCAUUUAAGUCGGGGGUGAAAUCCCGGGGCUCAACCCCGGAACUGCCUCCGAUACUGGGUGCCUAGAGGACGGGAGAGGUGAGUGGAAUGGCGAGUGUAGAGGUGAAAUUCGUAGAUAUUCGCCGGAACACCAGUGGCGAAGGCGGCUCACUGGCCCGUCACUGACGCUGAGGUGCGAAAGCGUGGGGAGCA